This is a long non-coding RNA of Ctenocephalides felis (cat flea), 306 nucleotides long. RefSeq lists it as uncharacterized. The record is from RefSeq and is a predicted model, not a curated record. NCBI's taxonomy places the organism in Eukaryota, Metazoa, Arthropoda, Insecta, Siphonaptera, Pulicidae. The transcript is spliced from 3 exons.
GUGACUAAAUGCAUACACAAAGAAAGAUAGGGUGUUUUACCCCUUUAUUCGCCUCGGUGCUCAUUUGAUAUAGUAGCAGCCAUACAGAAAGGGUGCGGGUAGGUUUGAGUUUGCUGCUACCAGAGUCCUUCAGUAUUUAUACAAACAUUGUUACUGUGACGCUCUGAAUAUGGGUAAACGACAACUUCAAGCCAAGUAGUCUUCCAAUCUCAAGUUACUCAAGACUUGUUCUCCAGCUAAAAUAGUCGCUCGAUCUACUAAUUAUGCCCUCCCAAGUAACUAUCUUCGUCAGAGAAGGUGUCUGCA